Molecule: long non-coding RNA, 214 nt
Filed under: Mytilus galloprovincialis (Mediterranean mussel)
Lineage: Eukaryota; Metazoa; Mollusca; Bivalvia; Mytilida; Mytilidae
Source: RNAcentral
GUCAUGCAUGGAUACAUUGUUAAUAUAUAAGCUCUAUAGUAAGAAAAGAAAGGAACAUUAAUGCGUGUUGUGAGGUUUGGAAAUUUCGUGAUAUUACAUUCAAGGGCUGGGUCUUAAUAUCAAAAUCAUUGAUUGUAUCGACGGUAAAAAUUGGAAUCUAAAUGCGAGGAAUACCUGAAAGAUAAGAAAAAAAUAAACAAAAUCAUGUAAAAAU